RNAcentral lists this ribosomal RNA (354 nucleotides) under uncultured bacterium. RNAcentral describes it as "bacterial SSU rRNA". It matches the Rfam family "Bacterial small subunit ribosomal RNA", at positions 173 to 507 of the family's 1533-position model. The record is from RNAcentral.
UGGACCACGCAGUUUCGACUGUGAGGUCAAAGCGGGCUGAUGUUUACAAGCUCGCGCUCUAGGAUGGGUCCGCGGCCCAUCAGCUAGUUGGUAGGGUAACGGCCUACCAAGGCUACGACGGGUAGCUGGUCUGAGAGGAUGAUCAGCCACACUGGAACUGAGACACGGUCCAGACUCCUACGGGAGGCAGCAGUGGGGAAUCUUGCGCAAUGGACGAAAGUCUGACGCAGCAACGCCGCGUGGGUGACGAAGGCCUUCGGGUUGUAAAGCCCUGUGGGGAGAGACGAACCGGCUCGUGGCUAAUAUCCACGGGUCUUGACGGUAUCUCCUUAGCAAGCAUCGGCUAACUCUGUG